RNAcentral lists this long non-coding RNA (1559 nucleotides) under Octopus sinensis (East Asian common octopus). RNAcentral's name for it is "uncharacterized LOC118763376, transcript variant X1". The record is from RNAcentral. Lineage: Eukaryota; Metazoa; Mollusca; Cephalopoda; Octopoda; Octopodidae.
CACAGAGCAUUCUUCUAGUAAUCACUUUGAAAAUGAACUCUAAAUUUUCGCGUCCAAGUUUUGCUAUUUCAUGGAAUCUACCUUUUACCGAUGAAGAUACAAGAUUGAACUAAACAGAAUGACACAGGAAGAAGAGAAGAGGCGAAAAUGAUACACUAAAAAGAAAAAAAAUGAAAGACAAUAAUAAUUUUGUAUAAAUGUUCUACUAACAUUUACAUUAUAUACACAUCUAACAUAGGAUAGCAAACAUUCAGCAGGGGAACAUCGAAACUGGCUAUUUCUCGCCUACAGAUUUAGCUCUCGUGUGGCAUGAGGUUGGCGUGCUGCCGAAAAUCCAUCACUACGUCUGUGGAGUGAUUCCUGUAGAGAAAUAGGACGGAAUUUGCUGGUAAUUUUAGGAAGACCUCACGUUACCUUGGUUACGUCCCAGAUAUUUGGGCAAGGAUUACGUUAUUUCCAGCAGUUGGCAAAAGAUUUUCAGAAACAAAUUUCUUGCAUCAACUCUGUUUUUGAUUCUAUUUCCUUCUUUCUUCUCCUGUCCCUUCUGUCUUUAUGACUUUUUUCCACACCAAAAUACAUCUGGAGUAAAAGACCUAAAUUAAUUUAUAUUUAAAUUAAAUUAAGUGAAUUUUAGAUUUUCCUAUAUUUUUGUUGGACAGAUCACAUAUAUUUGUUUGCUUUUUAUUCAUUUCAUUGAAAGAAAAUUUGUAUCAAGCUAUAGCAGCUAGCUUCUUUGCUAUAUUUGUUCAUUGCUUUUAGGGUCUAUCCAUGCAUUUUAAAUUUUCCCAAUUCUCAUCCUUUGCAAUUAAUAUAAUUUUUGAAAUAUAAAACGUAUUUUAAAUCUUACUUGGCAAUCAUUUUUAAAGCCCUUUCAACCAAAUAGUUAUCUUUGUUCAUAUACUGUAUGAUAUUUGUAUGUUUCAAAGUCUAAAUCAUGUUCUUCAAAGCUGAUAAUUUCACUGUAUAUUUCGUAUACAGUGUAGCCUCUUUGACUCUCUUAAUGGGAGGUCUAAUAGUGUAUGUGUUUUUCUGGCAUUUUUGGACGACACGUUGUGAAGAUUUAAAACCAAAGAAGCUAUAGCUUCUGUAAUUCAAAUAACGACAAAGUUAUUUUUUUCUUAAAAAUAUUCUUCAACGGGAACAAAACAGGUGAUUCUAUGAUGAAAAGAAAGAAGAAAAGAACAACGAAAAUACUAAAAAAAUUAAAACCAGCGUUUUUGAGCUUUAGGUAGAUGUUUCUCAGUCAACUCAGAAUAAUGUUCGACAAUUUUGUUCUAGAAUUCGAUCUCGCAUCGAUUUAUUUUUAUAUUUUUCUUGGGGCAUUUUAUACCAUGAAAACUCAGAGUGAUAUUAAAGAAAUAUCUAUAAACAAUUUUAACCGUUAUUUAGAAAGCUUAAAGCUGGUUAAAUUGAAGAAAUGGCAAACUAGUGUCCAAGAAUAAACGUUUCGUAUCUUGCAACCAAUAAGAUACAAUUAGUUCAGUUCUUUUACGAAUUGUGACAAUGGAUUAUACAGCCAAUGUUCCAAGAUUGGCACUGCACUUUUGUUGUAAGCAGCG